RNAcentral lists this ribosomal RNA (301 nucleotides) under uncultured bacterium. RNAcentral describes it as "partial 16S ribosomal RNA". It matches the Rfam family "Bacterial small subunit ribosomal RNA", at positions 509 to 807 of the family's 1533-position model. The record is from RNAcentral.
CAGCCGCCGCGGGAAUACGAAGGGUGCAAGCGUUAAUCGGAAUUACUGGGCGUAAAGCGUGCGUAGGCGGCUUGGUAAGUUAGAGGUGAAAGCCUGGAGCUCAACUCCAGAAUUGCCUUUAAGACUGCCGAGCUAGCAGGUGAGAGAGGUAAGUGGAAUUCCGAGUGUAGAGGUGAAAUUCGUAGAUAUUCGGAAGAACACCAGUGGCGAAGGCGGCUUACUGGCUCAUACUGGACGCUGAGGUGCGAAAGCGUGGGGAGCAAACAGGAUUAGAUACCCGAGUAGUCCCUGUCUCUUAUAC